AAGGAAGUUAGCUUCUUCAUAUGCCCUUGGGGGCUGAGUUUGGGAACCCCUCCCCAGAUAGGGUCCUCCGGCCAGAGGACGAGAGGGAGAGCCAGCAGGCCACUCGGUCCUGCUUCUGUUUCUUCUGCUUUUGCUUUGUGCGAUCAGGGGAAGGACCCCGCAUACGGAGGUAGUUAGGAGCUUUGGGGACGCUCUGGAGCCCCUGUUUUAAAGGGGAGGCCAAGCGUGCAGAGUCAGGCCGAGGGGCAGAGAUGAAUGAGGCGAUGACCACAGCCGGGCCCGGCCGGCCUGGCGGCAGAGAUGCCCCGGAGGACGAGCUGCGGGGCAGAGACGCGAGCAGAAAAAAACGUUUAUGGCCGCCCGAACGAGGGGCGAGUGAGGCCGGGGCUCCGGGAGGCCCAGGGAAAGUUCCCUUCCUGGGGUCUUUUCUAAAAAAAAAAAGACAGAAGGGAGGGGUUGAGUCGAGGCACGUAGAAUUUUCCUUCGCGGGCUUGGAGCGGAGCGGAUUUCCAUAAAGGAAGAGAAGACCACGGUCCCGGAUCCUUCCACGUCCGCCUCAUUCUCUCCAGCCGGUGACCCAUCUGGUCUGAAAAGAGACGGAGAAAGACACUCUCCACUGAGUCACUUCGUCAAGACCAGCGCACACGGCGAAAGAGAACCGCAGGCGCCCUCGCCUUUGAAAACCACACGGGGCGGAGGACGCCACGAUAACGAAUCGGACAAAAUAACAAUAAAAUAACAAUAAAAUAACACCGGCGGCAGCGCAGAGGGCAGGACGCGCCGAGAGGGCCCGGGGCCGGCGUUCCAGGCGGCCGCCGGGCGAGGCAGCGGCCCCCGGCGAUGGGGCGCCGGGCCGCCGGGCACCGGCUGGCGAGCCGCUCGGUCUCGGCCUCCCCAGCCCGGCCUGUAGACCCCUUCUCCCCGGCCUCCGCGCCCCUCCUGCUUUCGGCUCGGAUGCCCAGUCGGUCGGGGUUUCCCUGGUGCGCGAAUCUGGGGCCUCCGAGGGGGCAAAGUGACUCAAGCCCGACUCCGCUUCAUUUUUCUCCCUAGGCCUCUCCGCUCGCGGGAGCUCUCAGCUACCGGGAGCCCGCCACGCAAGGGGCUGCUGGGCGGCCCGCCACCCGCUCCCACAUGGUUCCCCAAAGUCCAGCGACCUCCAGUCCUCCUUAGGGGAAAAUAUCAGUGCACAGCCACCUCUGCGUCCUCACAUAUGUGACCGUGCUCGCUUCAAGAAUAUCUUACGAAGAAGAAGAAAAGCCGGCUUAGAGCCGUUUCCAUCCAGUUCUAGUGAUCCCUUCGCAUCUGGAGAGUUUAUUUAUAACUCCCACUAUAACUCUCUCUGUUUGGAGGCACUGGUGUCUAUUGACAGACUGAUGUCUAGAAAAUAUUGCUCUGGCUCUGACCGUACCUAAAUGUGCUGUGGUUGUGUUCACAGAUUUAUGCUUCAGGAAAAUAUAAUUAUUUCCAUUGUA
Non-coding RNA from Equus caballus (horse), 1472 nucleotides. The record is from RefSeq and is a predicted model, not a curated record. NCBI's taxonomy places the organism in Eukaryota, Metazoa, Chordata, Mammalia, Perissodactyla, Equidae.